RNAcentral lists this ribosomal RNA (390 nucleotides) under uncultured bacterium. Its description in RNAcentral is "partial 16S ribosomal RNA". It matches the Rfam family "Bacterial small subunit ribosomal RNA", at positions 523 to 918 of the family's 1533-position model. The record is from RNAcentral.
AUACAUAGGGGGCGAGCGUUAUCCGGAAUUAUUGGGCGUAAAGGGUGAGUAGGCGGCUAAAUAAGUUUGUGGUAUAAGCACAGUGCUCAACGCUGUGAGGCUACAAAAACUGUUUAGCUAGCGUCAGAUAGAGGCAAGUGGAAUUCCAUGUGUAGCGGUAAAAUGCGUAAAUAUAUGGAGGAACACCAGUGGCGAAGGCGGCCUGCUGGGUGUGUACUGCCGCUGACGCAAGAAAGCGUGGGGAGAAAAGUGUAUUAGGUACCUUGGUAGUCCACGCCGGAAACGAUGAGUACUAAGUAUCGGAUGACCUAUCGGCGCUGCAGUUAACACAAUAAGUGCUCCGCCUGGGGAGUUCGUCCGCAAGGAUGAAGCUUAAAGGAAUUGGCGGGG